UCGAGAAUUUUUCUCAAUGGGGGAAACCCUGAAGGAGCGACGCCGCGUGGAGGAUGAAGGUCUUCGGAUUGUAAACUCCUGUCAUUUGAGAACAAGGGUGAGCAAGUAACUACUGCCCACUUGAUAGUAUCAGAAGAGGAAGGGACGGCUAACUCUGUGCCAGCAGCCGCGGUAAUACAGAGGUCCCAAGCGUUGUUCGGAUUCAUUGGGCGUAAAGGGUGCGUAGGUGGCGCCAUAAGUCAGGUGUGAAAUUUCGGAGCUUAACUCCGAAACUGCAUUUGAUACUGUGGUGCUUGAGGACUGGAGAGGAGACUGGAAUUUACGGUGUAGCAGUGAAAUGCGUAGAGAUCGUAAGGAAGACCAGUGGCGAAGGCGGGUCUCUGGACAGUUCCUGACACUGAGGCACGAAGGCCAGGGGAGCAAACGGGAUUAGAUACCCGCGUAGUCC
Molecule: ribosomal RNA, 448 nt
Filed under: uncultured bacterium
Lineage: Bacteria
Description: bacterial SSU rRNA
Rfam family: Bacterial small subunit ribosomal RNA
Source: RNAcentral